UUUUCGUCAAUGGGGGCAACCCUGAACGAGCAAUGCCGCGUGAGCGAAGAAGGUCUUCGGAUUGUAAAGCUCUGUUGACCGGGAAAAGGAAGGAAAGAGGAAAUGCUUUUCUUUGGAUGGUACCCGGCCAGAAAGUCACGGCUAACUACGUGCC
RNAcentral lists this ribosomal RNA (154 nucleotides) under uncultured bacterium. Its description in RNAcentral is "partial 16S ribosomal RNA". It matches the Rfam family "Bacterial small subunit ribosomal RNA", at positions 362 to 509 of the family's 1533-position model. The record is from RNAcentral.